This is a long non-coding RNA of Rattus norvegicus (Norway rat), 2365 nucleotides long. RefSeq lists it as uncharacterized. The record is from RefSeq and is a predicted model, not a curated record. Lineage: Eukaryota; Metazoa; Chordata; Mammalia; Rodentia; Muridae.
UCUCUUCUUUCUGAGCAGCUUGGAGGGCUAUGCACAUAGCUACCUCCUCCUCCCGUGUGGGAGGGAUGCUGGAUAGCAAUGGUGAGGACGUCCUUAGUGUAUGCCCAGUGGAGCCCACAGCUCUGUGUAUGAACGGCAGAGCACAACAGGAGACUAUGGAUGAAUGAACGGCUCUGUAGCAUCCUUAGUCUCCAAAUAUGCCUGUUUCCUCUCUUUCUGGCCUACGACCACACUGGUCCUAAGAAAUAAAAUGUCACUGAGGAAAAAGAAAUGCAGGCAGAACUUAUAUGGCUCACCAUUUUCCUCUGGGCCUGGUCUAAUCCGGUUAAGCUGCUUGGUACUUUAAAAACUGGGGCUGGAGAGAUGGCUCAGAUGCUAAGAGUACUGGCUGCUUUUCCAGGGAACCCGGGUUCAAUUCCCAGCACCUACAUGGCAACUUACAACAGUCUCCAGUUCCAGAGGUUCUUACACCCCCCCCCACACACACAUACAGGUAAAACACCAAUGCACAUGAAAUAAAAAUUAAAAAAACCCCAAAGGUAUUACAUGAACUGUACAUACCUUAAAAAAAAAGACAGGGUCUACUUUAAAGGUUUAUAAACACUAGACACCCUCUCCUAGGAUGUCUUCCUUGAAUAUAGCUCAUUCCAUGUUCACACAGCAAACAUGUACUGUAAGAAACCACUCUCACACGUAUGUCAUUGUACCCUGCGGUAAUAGCAUCAGAUGGAGGGGCAUGGAACACAGAGGAAGCUCUGGGCUCUGGCUAGACCCACAGACUACAACCAGGAGAAGGGGUGAGAGACUGAAGAAGACAGAAGACCUCGCACUGCUUCUGUGGAGCCUCAUCUUGGUUACCACUCCCUGGCCUACAAUUGUGUGAUCAUAGUCACAUGUCCCAGGUGAUAUCCCAUCCCCAGGACCCAAGUGGACGCUGGCUACACAUGGCAGGUCUGAGAUUCCAGCCGUAGAAGACAGGGUCUCUGGGGGGCACAGAUUACAGGCCAAGCUGUGGAUAAAGUGAACCCUGGCUUUACCAGAACGGGGACAAAGACAUGAAAGCUGUUAUUGUGCUAAUCCUAGCACCGUUCAACUGUGCCAAGCUUGCAAGGAGGGCACAUGAGGCCAGCACAGACUGAGGUAGAGAAGAAUUCUUCUUGCUAGAGCCUCCUUUUGUCUGGCCCGGGGGAUCCUGGCUCCACUGUAGCUGUUGGCAGGUUUCAGUUCUUGCCACCAACAAGGAGGGACAGGAAGAGAGGUCCUUGAUGACCGACCUAGCUGGGUGGAACCUUGGAGAGCUCCCAUCUUGUCUCCUCUGUAGAUGAGGGAAUCACGGGCUACACAGGCUUCAUUAGGUGGCUUGCUGCUUGUCUGUCAUUCGAGGAACAAUCGGUGCCUGAGAACGGAAGCUCUGGAAAGGAAGCAAUGGAAGAGCGAGGAGACAACUUACAUGCAGAACGGGAGAAAGUCUUUGCCAGCUCUAUAUCCAACAGGGCAUUAAUAUCUAAGGAGGAGGAGGAGAAAGAACGAGGAAGAGGAAGAAAAAUGCUGUAUAUUAUCACCACUGGAUUUCCAGAAUCCCCUAGAGGUCUAGCUUGUUCCAUCUGGUGAAGGUUCCUUGUUUGCCUGGCACUGUGUGCACGAACCCACGAACCCUGUGUGAAUGGCAUCAUUGUCCCCAAUUUGAUGUGAGGCUCUGGGAACUUAUAAACCCUCUGAUCUUUCUGGAAAUAAGUGGCUAAGAUUCUCAUAAAACUUGACAGGAUAGCCCAUGAUUUGAAUUGUUAAGACCUCCUUCGUGGGCUCAAUGAUACAAAAAGCUAAUUUCUAUGAAGCUAAAUUGCCAGCGAAGAGCUUCCCUCCUUCUCCCAUCUAAACACUGACAAGGCAGAGGAACACACGGGGCCUCAGAGAGCCCCCAGGAGUCUCAAACUAGUUGCUCAUGGCUCACAUCUCAACAAAACAAACAUGUUUUGUGGGUCUGGCACCAUGUGGCAAAAGGACCAGGUCGUGGUACUGCACUCCUUUAAUCCCAGGACUCAGGAGGCAGAGGCAGGUGGAUCUUUGUGGUUUCUAGGCCAGCCUGGUCUACAGAAUUCCAGGACAUCCAGGGCUACACAGAGAAACCCUGCCUCAAGAAUAAACAGACAUAAAUAAACAUGUAAAUAAAUAAAGCAAAAGGGAAUCAGAAGGCCCUUGGGAAGGGCCGUGUUCUUUGCCAUUUUGCCUUUAGCUGCCUUUCUCCCAUACUGUCCCACAUCUCUCAGAUGUAUGAAAUACAUCAAGGAGCUGGUGACAUUAUUUGACAGCUACAGAGGUUGCUCCGGGCAGAAUGAGAAGGGAGAAGUUGGGUAGAGGAGGUUGU